GCUUACUUUGGCAGACAUGUCCUAAAACUGGAACAGCACAGAGGAGAUUAGCAUGACUCUUGCACAAGGAUAACAUGUUAAAAAUGUUUCAUAUUAAA
Monodelphis domestica (gray short-tailed opossum) is the source of this 98-nucleotide small nuclear RNA. The record is from Ensembl. NCBI's taxonomy places the organism in Eukaryota, Metazoa, Chordata, Mammalia, Didelphimorphia, Didelphidae.